Pseudomonas syringae pv. tomato str. DC3000 is the source of this 2894-nucleotide ribosomal RNA. It matches the Rfam family "Bacterial large subunit ribosomal RNA". Lineage: Bacteria; Pseudomonadati; Pseudomonadota; Gammaproteobacteria; Pseudomonadales; Pseudomonadaceae. The record is from Rfam.
GGUCAAGUGAAGAAGCGCAUACGGUGGAUGCCUCGGCAGUCAGAGGCGAUGAAAGACGUGGUAGCCUGCGAAAAGCUUCGGGGAGUCGGCAAACAGACUGUGAUCCGGAGAUGUCUGAAUGGGGGAACCCAGCCAUCAUAAGAUGGUUAUCUUACACUGAAUACAUAGGUGUAAGAGGCGAACCAGGGGAACUGAAACAUCUAAGUACCCUGAGGAAAAGAAAUCAACCGAGAUUCCCUUAGUAGUGGCGAGCGAACGGGGACCAGCCCUUAAGUUGUAUUGAGAUUAGCGGAACGCUCUGGAAAGGGCGGCCAUAGUGGGUGAUAGCCCUGUACGCGAAAAUCCCUUUGCAAUGAAAUCGAGUAGGACGGGGCACGAGAAACCUUGUCUGAAUAUGGGGGGACCAUCCUCCAAGGCUAAAUACUACUGACUGACCGAUAGUGAACCAGUACCGUGAGGGAAAGGCGAAAAGAACCGCGGAGAGCGGAGUGAAAUAGAUCCUGAAACCGUAUGCGUACAAGCAGUGGGAGCCCACUUUGUUGGGUGACUGCGUACCUUUUGUAUAAUGGGUCAGCGACUUAUUUUCAGUGGCGAGCUUAACCGAAUAGGGGAGGCGUAGCGAAAGCGAGUCUUAAUAGGGCGUCUAGUCGCUGGGAAUAGACCCGAAACCGGGCGAUCUAUCCAUGGGCAGGUUGAAGGUUGGGUAACACUAACUGGAGGACCGAACCGACUACCGUUGAAAAGUUAGCGGAUGACCUGUGGAUCGGAGUGAAAGGCUAAUCAAGCUCGGAGAUAGCUGGUUCUCCUCGAAAGCUAUUUAGGUAGCGCCUCAUGUAUCACUGUAGGGGGUAGAGCACUGUUUCGGCUAGGGGGUCAUCCCGACUUACCAAACCGAUGCAAACUCCGAAUACCUACAAGUGCCGAGCAUGGGAGACACACGGCGGGUGCUAACGUCCGUCGUGAAAAGGGAAACAACCCAGACCGUCAGCUAAGGUCCCAAAGUCAUGGUUAAGUGGGAAACGAUGUGGGAAGGCUUAGACAGCUAGGAGGUUGGCUUAGAAGCAGCCACCCUUUAAAGAAAGCGUAAUAGCUCACUAGUCGAGUCGGCCUGCGCGGAAGAUGUAACGGGGCUCAAACCAUGCACCGAAGCUACGGGUAUCAUCUUUUGAUGAUGCGGUAGAGGAGCGUUCUGUAAGCCUGUGAAGGUGAGUUGAGAAGCUUGCUGGAGGUAUCAGAAGUGCGAAUGCUGACAUGAGUAACGACAAUGGGUGUGAAAAACACCCACGCCGAAAGACCAAGGUUUCCUGCGCAACGUUAAUCGACGCAGGGUUAGUCGGUCCCUAAGGCGAGGCUGAAAAGCGUAGUCGAUGGAAAACAGGUUAAUAUUCCUGUACUUCUGGUUAUUGCGAUGGAGGGACGGAGAAGGCUAGGCCAGCCUGGCGUUGGUAGUCCAGGUUUAAGGUGGUAGGCUGAGAUCUUAGGUAAAUCCGGGAUCUUAAGGCCGAGAGCUGAUGACGAGUGUUCUUUUAGAACAUGAAGUGGUUGAUGCCAUGCUUCCAAGAAAAGCUUCUAAGCUUCAGGUAACCAGGAACCGUACCCCAAACCGACACAGGUGGUUGGGUAGAGAAUACCAAGGCGCUUGAGAGAACUCGGGUGAAGGAACUAGGCAAAAUGGCACCGUAACUUCGGGAGAAGGUGCGCCGGUGAGGGUGAAGCAUUUACUGCGUAAGCCCACGCCGGUCGAAGAUACCAGGCCGCUGCGACUGUUUAUUAAAAACACAGCACUCUGCAAACACGAAAGUGGACGUAUAGGGUGUGACGCCUGCCCGGUGCCGGAAGGUUAAUUGAUGGGGUUAGCGCAAGCGAAGCUCUUGAUCGAAGCCCCGGUAAACGGCGGCCGUAACUAUAACGGUCCUAAGGUAGCGAAAUUCCUUGUCGGGUAAGUUCCGACCUGCACGAAUGGCGUAACGAUGGCGGCGCUGUCUCCACCCGAGACUCAGUGAAAUUGAAAUCGCUGUGAAGAUGCAGUGUAUCCGCGGCUAGACGGAAAGACCCCGUGAACCUUUACUAUAGCUUUGCACUGGACUUUGAAUUUGCUUGUGUAGGAUAGGUGGGAGGCUUUGAAGCGUGGACGCCAGUCUGCGUGGAGCCAACCUUGAAAUACCACCCUGGCAACUUUGAGGUUCUAACUCAGGUCCGUUAUCCGGAUCGAGGACAGUGUAUGGUGGGUAGUUUGACUGGGGCGGUCUCCUCCUAAAGAGUAACGGAGGAGUACGAAGGUGCGCUCAGACCGGUCGGAAAUCGGUCGUAGAGUAUAAAGGCAAAAGCGCGCUUGACUGCGAGACAGACACGUCGAGCAGGUACGAAAGUAGGUCUUAGUGAUCCGGUGGUUCUGUAUGGAAGGGCCAUCGCUCAACGGAUAAAAGGUACUCCGGGGAUAACAGGCUGAUACCGCCCAAGAGUUCAUAUCGACGGCGGUGUUUGGCACCUCGAUGUCGGCUCAUCACAUCCUGGGGCUGAAGCCGGUCCCAAGGGUAUGGCUGUUCGCCAUUUAAAGUGGUACGCGAGCUGGGUUUAGAACGUCGUGAGACAGUUCGGUCCCUAUCUGCCGUGGACGUUUGAGAUUUGAGAGGGGCUGCUCCUAGUACGAGAGGACCGGAGUGGACGAACCUCUGGUGUUCCGGUUGUCACGCCAGUGGCAUUGCCGGGUAGCUAUGUUCGGAAAAGAUAACCGCUGAAAGCAUCUAAGCGGGAAACUUGCCUCAAGAUGAGAUCUCACUGGAACCUUGAGUUCCCUGAAGGGCCGUCGAAGACUACGACGUUGAUAGGUUGGGUGUGUAAGCGCUGUGAGGCGUUGAGCUAACCAAUACUAAUUGCCCGUGAGGCUUGACCAU